Molecule: ribosomal RNA, 408 nt
Filed under: uncultured bacterium
Lineage: Bacteria
Description: partial 16S ribosomal RNA
Rfam family: Bacterial small subunit ribosomal RNA
Source: RNAcentral
GACGAACGCUGGCGGCGUGCUUAACACAUGCAAGUCGAACGGAGUGGCGAACGGGUGAGUAACACGUGGGUGAUCUGCCUUGCACUUCGGGAUAAGCUUGGGAAACUGGGGCUAAUACCGGAUAGUGCAAGAUGAGCUCGCGGCCUAUCAGCUUGUUGGUGGGGUAAUGGCCUACCAAGGCGUCGACGGGUAGCCGGCCUGAGAGGGUGUACGGCCACAUUUGGACUGAGAUACGGCCCAGACUCCUACGGGGGGCAGCAGAGGGGAACAUUGCACAAUGGGCGGGCGCCUGAUGCAGCGUCGCCGCGUGGGGGAUGAAGGCCUUCGGGUUGCAAACUCGUUUCUCCGGGGACGCGGUACCUGUAUACGAGGCACCGGCUAACUACGUGCCAGCCGCCGCGGUAAUUC